AUGUGCAUACCGAAGUAAAAAGGAGGCAUGGGGUUUAGAGACAUUCAUUGCUUUAACUUUGCACUGUUGGCUAAACAAGCUCAGCGUCUUAUCGGUAACCCAGAUUCUCUAUGUGCACAAAAUUUGAAAGCGAAAUAUUAUCCAGAUGGUGAUCUCAUGAGUGCCAAGUUAAAAAAUAAAGCCUCAUAUACUUGGCAGAGCAUUAUGGCAGGUGUUGAAACUUUAAAUAUUGGGCAUAUAUGGAGAGUUGGUGAUGGAGAGAACAUAAAAAUUUGGGAGGAUGAGUGGAUACCAAAAUCUCCAUCACGGAAGGUGAUUACAAUCAGGGGUAACAAUCUCCUUACUCGUGUGAGUGAUCAUAUAGAUCCUGUAUCAGGAGACUGGGAUGAAUCAUUGAGCAGGCAAACAUUUUGGGAUUUGGAUGCCCAACAGAUCCUGGCAAUACCCCUUCCUUUGCAUGAAAUGAGAGACUUCAUUGCAUGGAAUGCUUCUAAAACAUGA
RNAcentral lists this ribosomal RNA (501 nucleotides) under Triticum aestivum (bread wheat). Its description in RNAcentral is "partial small subunit ribosomal RNA". The record is from RNAcentral. Lineage: Eukaryota; Viridiplantae; Streptophyta; Magnoliopsida; Poales; Poaceae.